Delphinapterus leucas (beluga whale) is the source of this 530-nucleotide non-coding RNA. The record is from RefSeq and is a predicted model, not a curated record. NCBI's taxonomy places the organism in Eukaryota, Metazoa, Chordata, Mammalia, Artiodactyla, Monodontidae.
CAACUGACUCUCAGAUGUUCCUCGAGCAUCUCCUGUGAAUUGAGUCCUGGCGAGGCAGCAGGGGCUCAGCACCCAGGACAGGCGAGAGGGGGGCCCCAAAGCCCCGCUGGGGUGCCGGCUGUUUGGACAGUGGCUUCUGCACGAGCACAGGGCGCUCACCUCCUGCCCUCAUUGCGCCUGCAGCUCUGACCCCCCUGGUCCCAUGCCAGCCGGCACGUCCUGUGAAGUGCUUGUCACCUUCAAGCCCACAGUAAACAAAGAUCUGGAAGGAAACGUCUCGUUUCUGGCUCAGACGGGCAGGUUUUCCGUUCCACUGAAAUGUUCAGCGAAGAAAUGCUCCACCUUAUAACUGAAGUUUGUGCCUUUGGACCCCCUUCACCCAUUUUGCCCACCUCCACCCCUGCCUCUGGGAACCACCAUCUGUUUUUGUAUCUCGCUUCGGUGAACAUGGGCAUGCACACCACUCUUCUGAUGAUACCCAUUGCGUGCCUUUGGAUAAAUACCCAGAAGUGGAAUUGCUGGAUCAUAUG